Molecule: non-coding RNA, 342 nt
Organism: Python bivittatus (Burmese python)
Lineage: Eukaryota; Metazoa; Chordata; Lepidosauria; Squamata; Pythonidae
Source: RefSeq, a predicted model, not a curated record
UCAUUGGUAGUGCAGACAAACAGAACUGCGGAGCAAGAAAUUAGGCAGAACUACAUUAAGUACAGUAGUGAUAGCAUGAGAUUAUACAUGAAGUUAAGGGUCCACUGUUUAAUGCAUAAGGAGGCAAGUGGUGAGAUUUCAGUUGAAUAAUGAAGAACAAAUAGAACGAGUCAAACCAAAAAAAGAGUCCCAUUAUAUUGGAGAUGGUCCAGACUUUCAGCAUUCGCUUUUCAACCUUGGUGGUCAAAGUCCACUGGUCUCCUAUUAUCUUCACAUGCGUGGAAUCCCUAAUACUUUAGCAAACUCCCGGGGUUACAGGAUCAAUCAUACUGAAAUCUGCAA